AGCCACACCCGAGGCAUAUGGAGGUUCCCAGGCCAGGGGUCCAAUCUGAGCUACGGCCACCGGCCUAUGCCCGAGCCAUAGCAAUGCCAGAUCCAAGCAGUGUUUGCAAUCUAUACCACAGCUCACAGCAAUGCUGGAUCCUUAACCCACUGAGCAAAGCCAGGGAUCGAACCUGCAACCUCAUGGUUCCUAGUUGGAUUUGUUUCUGCUGUGCCAUGAUCAGAACUCCUGGAGUCGUGUCUUAAAGAAAGCUGGGCUUGGGGACCCAUGUCCUGCCCUUUCUGGGGGCCAGUUGGCAGGGAAAGGCUGCUGGGAGGGAGGCCAGGGGGUCCUGAGUUGAGAGGAUAGGAACCCGGUCAUCACAGGUGGGGUGAAAGGGACAGAGUGUGUAUGGAGGUGCUGACAGACUCCAAGGGGGCUGAGCCGGGCCAAGGGGCUGCUGAGGCCAGGACAGAGCAGCGCCAUCAGGAAGGGGAGCAUGCCUGGGACAGGAGAGGGUGUCUACCUGGUGGAGACAGCUGAUGUCAUCACACAGAUCCCUCCCUGAGUGCACACCUAAGUCAAGGUGCCCUUGGACAAAAAGGGGUGUAACGAGGUGCUGUUGCCAACUCUGGCUAGAGGCCCUGCAGGCCUACGCAAACAUUCUGGACCAACACUGUGGGCUGAGCUACUGGAGAGAGAACAAACAGCAACUUUCAUUUAGUGCCACGGAGUACCUGGUUUCCCAUAGGCAAGAGCCCUGAGCUGGGUUUGCAGGGGGACAGGCGUUGCUGUAGGGCUCCCCUGGGAUGCGGGCGGGGGGCAGUGUGGCUAAAGAUAUGGGCCUCUGAGGAGAUUAAGAAUUGGGGACACCAUGAACUGAUAUUCUUUUAACCCUGGCUCAUUGUGGCUGAGGUUGGGGGGAGCUGCAAGCUGCGUGGGAGGGAGAAAGGAGAGCAGACCAGCCUGGAACCUAGAGCCCCUGGAAAGCCCGAUGGCCUGCACAAAGCUCCCCAGGCCCCUCCCGGGGCCCCGUGUGAGUCACAGAGGCCCCCAGUUGUGUGGUCCCAGACUUCCUCUGAACCACAGGCAGUGCCCUCUCUUCCGAAGAGGAGUUCUCAUCCGGGCCAUCUUCCCAUCUCUUCGCAUGUUUCUUGAGACAUGUCAAUGGCUUUAACACAGCGCCAGUGCUGGCAGAAGGGAGCAUGGUGAGAAGAUUCUUCAGGCCAAAGGAGGGCCCAUCUGGGAGGGGUCCAGGUGCUUCUCCAGGGCUGCAGGGUGGCCUAGAGGUGGAGAAGGGCAGGAGAUGGGAGUCAGCAAGGGCCAGGCCGACGGAGCCCCUGUGUGGACCCUGAAAUCCCUGUGCCUUUGCCCCUUAAAUCAUGUUCUGAGAGCAACAGCUUCCUCCUGUGGGCGGGAGGGAGCUGUGUGAGAGGCAUUGUCCCAGCAACUGUCCCUGGGGAAAGGGGGCUUCUGGAGAGAGUGUCACCUCGGUCGGUAACUUCCAUGCUGGCUGGGUCAGAACCAUAAACAGGGCCUCUUUCUUCAGAUUGCACCACUGUGACUCUUCAACUCACUUGGCAGGUGGGUGUUUUUGUGGCCGGCGGUGAUCAUGGACUUGCAAAAGCCAUGGUAACAUGUCCAAUUUCUCACGAUGAUCUACCAGGCUGUCAACCUCUGAAAUGGACCAGUCAGCGCUGCGUCAUUUCCGCUUAGGUAAUUUGCUGGUCCCUGGUAAGGGGCACAGAGGAAGGCUUGGGAGCAGUGCUCCUGAAUCUUGGACAGCAGCGUGGGGCGCAGGUGGCGAAGUGGCCCACUGAGAUGCCCAGUGCCUGGUCUCACACCUGUCACCUCUCGGCUGUUCCAGGGGCAGUGGAGGCUCCUGUGCCCUUGGAGGAGGGAUGGGUGCAGAGGGGCCUCAGUCUCUCUGCUUCCUGGGACAAGCUCUGGACUCCCCACACCUCUUCCAGGGGGCCCUGCGGGCCUGGAUUUUCCAUCCCUGCCGCAUUUCUCCCCAGGUUGUGUUUUGAGCAGUCCCUCACCAUGGUAACCAGCCAGAAGUGGAACCCUAGCCAAAGGCAAUGGUGACAAUGACACCAUUCUUGGGCCUUGGACCGACUGGGCGGUUCUUCCCCCUGAGGCUCUGGCAAGGGGCCCACCCACCACCUGCUUCCGGAGGAAAGGUGAGCCUUCCAAGGAACAUGUUCAGGCCAUGAGCCUCUGGGAGGUGAACCAGACAGAAGCCUGACCAAGAGCCUCGUCAAAGCUCUGAGGGGGAGUUUCCACUGGGACUCGGCCGGUUACAAACCCGACUGGUAUCCAUGAAGAUGCAGGUUCGAUCCCUGGCCCCAAUCCAUGGGUUAAGGAUCCGGCAUGGCUGUGAGCUGUGAUGUGGGUUUCAGACGCGGCUCAGAUCCCACAGCAUUGCUGUGGCUGUGGUGUAGGCUGGCAGCUACAGCUCUGAUUUGACCCCUAGCCUGGCAACUUCCACGUGCCACAGGUGUGGCCCUGAAAAGCAAAACGAAAAACCUCCGAGGAGACUACUGUCACUCAGGGCAGCCUUGAGGCAGGCGGGUGGCACAGGUAAGCUCAGCGUGGCCACAACAGCUUCAGGGCAAUGCCGCCGUCCCAUUUCAUAGAGGAGGAAAACGGAGGUUCAGAAAGGUAGAGUAACCUGCUCCAGGCUACAGUCAGUGGGUGUGAGGCCAUGUGACUCCAGAGCCAUGCUUUUUACCAACCGGUGGGUGUACUUUAAACAACAACAAUGUCAAACAGCCAUGUCCAAGUGCCAGGAAUCGAGAUGGCCUUGGUCCCACCCGACGUUUUGUUUCGGAAAUCUCUGUUGAGUGCAGCCAAGUGGAAAGUCCAGCCCUCGUUCCCUCCCGAGCCUCAGGGGCUCAGCCAGGUUUGGCGCCCACCCUGGCCCUCGGCUUCCCGCCAGGCCCAGGUCGGCCGUCCCCGGGAUGCGCCUGGUUCGGGCGUCUGGAGCUUUGCUUUGAGUCCAGGAAACUGCACAGGACACAGCUGAGUCUCCCACACAUGCUGUGUCCCGAGAAAACAAAGCGGGGGUUUCCCUGGGCUCUGUGAGCACCGGGGCCUGGCCGGCUCUCUCUGCCCAGCACGCACCCCCACCUCCAGGACCCUCUCAAGGCCAGCGCCCCCCAGCUCUGGGCUGUUAGUGGGCGGCGAGCUUCCCGGGAUUGUCCAGUGACAGGGCUUCCCCAGACAUGAUCUUCCUCGAUGAGCUCAUCCCCCGAUUCAGGCGGGGCUGGGAGCUGCUCCGGCACAACAAAGCGGGUGCAGGAGACAUCCUGCGUGACUCAUCGGUGGGCCACCAGCAGGGGCUUCCGGCUCUCAGGAGCAACCAGACACAGAGGGCCACUGUUUGCUCUGGAAGCCCCCUGCGGGCACUGCAGACUCAAUGGGGUCAUUUGUGUUUUUUGUCCCUGCUUCUCUGUAACCGUAAUCCUUCCGGGGGUGGGGGUCCAAGACAGCUACAGAUCUGUUUCUGUUAUCAUCUCUCCAGAUACUUAUCUAGGGCAGAAACCCCCUGAUCCCACAGCCACACUCUACCCAGGAAUGUGGCCCACACCUGGGGACACAGGCCUGAGGGGCUGGUGCUAAAGGCUGAGCAGGUGCCCUUGGGUUUGGACCAAGCUGGGGCCCCUUAGGAAGCUCAAGGGUUAAAAAGCAAAAGUCAUUUUUUUGGAGAAGAAUCAAGGAAUAUUAAAAAGGAAUUCAUAGGAAGGGAAAUCUGAAUGACUAAGAAGUUCAAAAAAAGGUUGUCAACGCCACUAGUUAUCAGAGAAAUGCAAAUUAAAACAGUGAGAUGCUGUUUUAUACCCUGGAGAUUGGUCAAAAUUGCCAAGACAGAUACUAUCAAGUGCUGGCAGGGUGUGGAGAAGAGGGAGCCCUCAGGAACUGCCACUGGGAAUGAACUCCAGGAAGGCAAGUGAUGGCUUUUUAAUUGAAAAUCAUUAUGCAAAUUGCAUAUGCAAGGAAUCUGCCAUGGGAAUUCCACUCCUGCUGAGGUCAGCUCAAAGGUAUGACCAGGCCUCAGGAUACCAGAGCAGAGGACCUGUUCCAGGGAGGUGUCCCCCACCUGCACUCCUGGCCACGCCCUUCCCCUGUGCACAGGUUUCUCUAGCAACACCUAGAAGCCAGGCCCCAGUGAGAGCCCUCUCGUCCAGCCCAACACGGGGCUGGCUCACUGCCCAGCUGCUGACUCUGGCUCAGUGGGGGCUUGGCAUCAGGACUCUGACCCUUGAGAAGGCAAGACAUGUCACUCCCUUUCUGUGCUCCAGCCUGACACCCUCACCUUCUCACUUCACUGCUGGUAUGAGUUUAUUAGUUUUCUUUGUUUAAAAAAAUGACUACAAACUCAGCUGCUUCAAACAACACACCUUUAUUAUUUCAGCUCAGGGGUCUAGACCUGGCUGAGCUGGAUUCUUUGCUCAGGGCCUCACAAGACGGCAAUCAAGGUAUGAGCUGAGCAGUAUUCUCAUCCAGAGGCUCAAGUGGGGAAGGAUCUGCCUCUGAGUUCACGCGUUUCCUUGCAGCUGUGGGAUGGAGCCCCCGCCCCCUUUCUGACUGUCAGGGCCACCGCUCAUCUUAGAGGCUUCCUGGCCAGGCGGGCUUCCCCACCACAGCUGCUUACUCCAUCAGGCUGACAAGGCAAGGCUCGGACCCAGAAAGGGCCCAAUCCCUCUUUUAAGGGUUUUCACCUGAUUAAACCUGGCCCACCCAGAAUAACCUCAGGUUUGAUUAACUCCGAAUCAGC
Molecule: long non-coding RNA, 4759 nt
Filed under: Sus scrofa (pig)
Lineage: Eukaryota; Metazoa; Chordata; Mammalia; Artiodactyla; Suidae
Description: lncRNA (ENSSSCG00045030959.1)
Source: RNAcentral